Molecule: non-coding RNA, 572 nt
Organism: Hipposideros armiger (great roundleaf bat)
Lineage: Eukaryota; Metazoa; Chordata; Mammalia; Chiroptera; Hipposideridae
Source: the annotation of a RefSeq genome assembly
CAACCCCAGAGCUCCCUAUAUAGAAGGAGGACAUGCAAAUAGGGGCCCCUCUGCUGAUGAAAACCAGCCCAGCCCUGACCCUGCAGCUCAGGGACAGGAGCCCCAGCCCCGGGAUCCUCAGGUGUCCCCAUUCUGUGACCAGGACUGAACACAGACGACACACCAUGGAGUUUGGGCUCAGCUGGGUUUUCCUUGUGACUAUUUUAAGAGGUGUCCAGUGUGAGGUGCAGCUGGUGGAGUCUGGGGGAGGCUUGGUGCAGCCUGGGGGGUCUCUGCGACUCUCCUGUGCCGCCUCUGGAUUCACCUUCAGUGACUACAGCAUGAACUGGGUCCGCCAGGCUCCAGGGAAGGGGCUGGAGUGGGUCUCAUUCAUCAGUCAAACUGGUAAGAAUAUAUACUAUGCCGACUCGGUGAAGGGCCAAUUCACCAUCUCCAGAGACAACGCCAAGAACAUGCUCUAUCUGCAAAUGACCAGCCUGAGAGCCGAGGACACGGCCGUGUAUUACUGUGCGAGACAGUGCGCCAAGUCUUCAGCUAGGAAUCCACUGCUCAUGAAUAUGCAAAUGAGCUGA